AGAGUUUGAUCCUGGCUCAGGACGAACGCUGGCGGCGUGCUUAACACAUGCAAGUCGAACGGAAAGGCCCUGCUUUUGUGGGGUGCUCGAGUGGCGAACGGGUGAGUAACACGUGAGUAACCUGCCCUUGACUUUGGGAUAACUUCAGGAAACUGGGGCUAAUACCGGAUAGGAGCUUCUGCUGCAUGGUGGGGGUUGGAAAGUUUCGGCGGUUGGGGAUGGACUCGCGGCUUAUCAGCUUGUUGGUGGGGUAGUGGCUUACCAAGGCUUUGACGGGUAGCCGGCCUGAGAGGGUGACCGGCCACAUUGGGACUGAGAUACGGCCCAGACUCCUACGGGAGGCAGCAGUGGGGAAUAUUGCACAAUGGGCGGAAGCCUGAUGCAGCAACGCCGCGUGCGGGAUGACGGCCUUCGGGUUGUAAACCGCUUUCGCCUGUGACGAAGCGUGAGUGACGGUAAUGGGUAAAGAAGCACCGGCUAACUACGUGCCAGCAGCCGCGGUAAU
RNAcentral lists this ribosomal RNA (505 nucleotides) under uncultured bacterium. RNAcentral describes it as "bacterial SSU rRNA". It matches the Rfam family "Bacterial small subunit ribosomal RNA", at positions 8 to 524 of the family's 1533-position model. The record is from RNAcentral.